Molecule: long non-coding RNA, 584 nt
Organism: Branchiostoma belcheri (Belcher's lancelet)
Lineage: Eukaryota; Metazoa; Chordata; Leptocardii; Amphioxiformes; Branchiostomatidae
Exons: 3
Source: RefSeq, a predicted model, not a curated record
UUGUACCACACGGGGUCUCCUUGUUUGUAUCGCACGGGCCACGCUCAAACUUUUCUGGAAUUGACCAAUCAGAGCUCGUUAAAACCAUUUGCUCUCUUCACGCGUCCUUUCCACAAGCAGGACGCUCAUUUACAUGCUCAUUUAGCCAAUGACUGGUGAGAGCAGUCAGCGUCAGGAUUCAGUCGACCACAGGACCCCAGUUGCCCAGGCCGGCGGGCGUGGAGAUACGUAGCCCCUUUGCCUUCUCUCAACCAGGGAUACAGACAUAAAAAGUUGCAAUACCAUGUGCCUUAGCUAGUGCGCAAGCUCUAGCCGGCAGUUGCCGUGUUAUAGCCGGGACAAUCACAUAUGCCAGAAGCCGUGGUCACAGCUGACUCAAGCCUCCCGGUCACAGAGCUGAUCAUGACAACUGACUCCAGUCUCCUUUGUGUAAAAUUUUGUUUCGAUAUUGUUGAUGAUGGUAGAAGAAGCAUGUUGAUAUCAUAUGUGUAUUAAGUAGUAGCAUCGUCGACAGAAAGAAGGAAACAUGGGAAGGAACCAGAUCAGUAGCAGAGCCAUCACGUGCAGGCUACGUAAUGCAUUGC